Long non-coding RNA from Bombina bombina (fire-bellied toad), 974 nucleotides. RefSeq lists it as uncharacterized. Lineage: Eukaryota; Metazoa; Chordata; Amphibia; Anura; Bombinatoridae. The transcript is spliced from 2 exons. The record is from RefSeq and is a predicted model, not a curated record.
UGUUCCCUCUCAUUCACUUCUUCUUAAACUAAACCAAUGCUGAUUUUUCUCGUUUCCUCUUUCUUGUUAUUUAUUUUCAAGUCACUUGCUUUUUUUUUUCUCUCACUACGUCUGUCUCUUUGUAUAUUCGCUCACUUAUUUUCUUAUUGAAAAGUCCUCUAUUACUACUUGAUUUGUUUUCUUUUUCACCUAUACCAAUUUAUAUGCUUUUACAACUUUUCCCCUUCAUACAUCUCUUAAUAAAUUCGCCACCUCUGAGUUUAUAAACAACUGCAACGCACUUCGAUACAUGAAAUAGCUGACUGACACAAGAUUGGCAGCUUUAAAAGACACUUGAUGAUGGAGAAUGCAGACGGAACCAGACAUCCUUAACAGCUAUAAAGAAAACAACUCAUGGCAUUGACAAAUACUCAAUUGACUAACAUGUCUGCUCUUAGAUUUAGCAUGUUAUGUUAUGUGGACUAACUGUAACACUGACAUAUCCAAGUCUGAAGAGUUGUCAUGGAAUGAUAAUGCUCAGUACCAUAUGUGGGGUAAAGUGAAAUGUGAAUUAAUUUCCUUUUAUGUUACAAAGUCUUUUCUAUCACAGAAGGAUGCAGUAGAAUCAAAUUGCAUACACAUUUUCAUAUAGUAGGCCGUAUUUGUUACUAACGUUUCUAAUACAAUAAUAUUAUAGUUCUUACUGGGACUAAUAUAAAUCCAAGCCUGUUAGUUUACACUGUAACUAAAUUGAUUCUUGGCCCUCAUAUUUCAUAAUAAACAAAACACCUUGCGUAACUAAAUAAAUCAUAUCAUCGGGCUCAAAAUAGUUUUUACUAAAAUAUAUGUUUGUUUACUGGGACCCAUCAGAAAUUAGCACCCUUUUCUUGUAUUGCACACAUUUAGUCCCCCUUAUGUUGUAGUAAGACCAAUAUAAUCUUCAGCACUAAAUAAUUUGAUGACGCUUUACAAAUAAAUGACACUAAUGACAAUAA